AUGAAGCUGCAUUCUAAAUUUUAUGGCCCAUUCAGAGUAAUGGAGAAAGUUGGAAACCAUGCCUACAAAUUACUGUUACCAGAGGGCUGCCAGCUGCAUGACACAUUUCAUGUCAGCCAACUGAAGAAACACAUUGGGCCAGCAGUCAUCCCUUCCCCUAUGCUACCACUGGUUGGCCCUGAUGGCAUUAUCAAAGUGGAUCCUGAAGCAAUGCUGGAAAGAACACUUGUUCCAAGAAAACAAGGAAACAUCAGUAUUCCUGUCGUCAGGUGGUUAGUCAAGUGGACCAAUAUGCCCGUGGAGGAAGCUACUUGGGAAGACUCUGCGUUCAUCCAGAAGGUUUUUCCAUCUUUCAGAGCUUGA
Molecule: ribosomal RNA, 363 nt
Filed under: Triticum aestivum (bread wheat)
Lineage: Eukaryota; Viridiplantae; Streptophyta; Magnoliopsida; Poales; Poaceae
Description: partial small subunit ribosomal RNA
Source: RNAcentral